This 440-nucleotide ribosomal RNA is filed under the name uncultured bacterium. RNAcentral describes it as "partial 16S ribosomal RNA". It matches the Rfam family "Bacterial small subunit ribosomal RNA", at positions 338 to 795 of the family's 1533-position model. The record is from RNAcentral.
CCUACGGGGAGCAGCAGUGAGGAAUAUUGCACAAUGGGGGAAACCCUGAUGCAGCGAAGCCGCGUGAGUGAUGAAGGCCUUCCUUGUGUAAAGCUCUUUCAGCCGGGGAGAAAAUGACUGUACCUGAGUGCUACGCCCCAGCUACCUACGUAACAGCAGCCGCGGGCAUACGGAGGGGGCAAGCGUUAUCCGGGUUUACUGGGUGUAAAGGGGGCGUAGACGGGAAUACAAGUCUGGAGGGAAAGGCGGGGGCUCAACCCCCGGACUGCUCUGGAAACUGGACGGCUGGAGUGCAGGAGAGGUAAGUGGAAUUCGUAGUGUAGCGGUGAAAUGCGUAGAUAUUAGGAGGAACACCAGUGGCGAAGGCGGCUUACUGGAGUGUAACUGACGUUGAGGCUCGAAAGCGUGGGGAGCAAACAGGAUUAGAUACCCGUGUAGUC